GGGGUGCGCUUUGAGUGAGGGGCCCAAGAAAUGGCCUUUCUGUUUACACCGCACCUCACAGGAAUCAGGCCCAGUGUGAUGGGAGUACGCAGCAACUACACCCCUUUUCCACACACGGACCUCAUGU
This is a small nucleolar RNA of Ochotona curzoniae (black-lipped pika), 127 nucleotides long. RefSeq annotates it as small nucleolar RNA SNORA11. Lineage: Eukaryota; Metazoa; Chordata; Mammalia; Lagomorpha; Ochotonidae. The transcript has a single exon. The record is from RefSeq and is a predicted model, not a curated record.